GACGAACGCUGGCGGCGUGCUUAACACAUGCAAGUCGAACGGAAAGGCCCUGCUUUCGUGGUGUGCUGGAGGGGCGAACGGGUGAGUAAGACGAGUGUAACGUGACCUAGAUUUUGGGAUAACUUCAGGAAACUGGGGCUACUACCGGAUAGGAGCUCCUGCAGCGUGGUGGGGGUUGGAUAGUUGCGGCGGUUGGGGCUGGACUCGCGGAUUAUCAGCUUGUUGGUGGGGUAGUGGCUUGCCGAGGCUUUGACGGGUAGCCGGCCUGAGAGGGUGGCCGGCCACAUUGGGCCUGCGAUACGCCGCAGUCUCCAACGGGGGACAGCGGUCGGGAGCAUUGCGCAGUGGGCCGAAGCCUGAUGCGGCAGCGCCGCGGGCGGGAUGACGGCCUUCGGGUUGAAAACCGCUUUCGCCUGUGACGAAGCGGGUGUGACGGUAAUGGGUAAAGAAGCACCGGCUAACUUCGUG
RNAcentral lists this ribosomal RNA (468 nucleotides) under uncultured bacterium. RNAcentral describes it as "partial 16S ribosomal RNA". It matches the Rfam family "Bacterial small subunit ribosomal RNA", at positions 28 to 507 of the family's 1533-position model. The record is from RNAcentral.